CCAGGACUUUUACUUUGAGGAAAUUAGAGUGUUUCAAGCAGGCUCACGCCUUGAAUACAUUAGCAUGGAAUAAUAAGAUAAGACCUUGGUUUAUUUUGUUGGUUUCUAGACCCGAGGUAAUGGUUAAUAGGGAUAGUUGGGGGCAUUCGUAUUUAACUGUCAGAGGUGAAAUUCUUGGAUUUGUUAAGGACGGACCACUGCGAAAGCAUUUGCCAAGAAUGUUUUCAUUGAUCAAGAACGAAAGUUAGGGG
Molecule: ribosomal RNA, 251 nt
Filed under: uncultured dinoflagellate
Lineage: Eukaryota; Dinophyceae
Description: partial small subunit ribosomal RNA
Rfam family: Eukaryotic small subunit ribosomal RNA
Source: RNAcentral